Molecule: ribosomal RNA, 422 nt
Filed under: uncultured Blautia sp.
Lineage: Bacteria; Bacillati; Bacillota; Clostridia; Lachnospirales; Lachnospiraceae
Description: bacterial SSU rRNA
Rfam family: Bacterial small subunit ribosomal RNA
Source: RNAcentral
UGGGGAAUAUUGCACAAUGGGGGAAACCCUGAUGCAGCGACGCCGCGUGAAGGAAGAAGUAUCUCGGUAUGUAAACUUCUAUCAGCAGGGAAGAUAGUGACGGUACCUGACUAAGAAGCCCCGGCUAACUACGUGCCAGCAGCCGCGGUAAUACGUAGGGGGCAAGCGUUAUCCGGAUUUACUGGGUGUAAAGGGAGCGUAGACGGUGUGGCAAGUCUGAUGUGAAAUCCAUGGGCUUAACCCAUGAACUGCAUUUGAAACUGUAUUUCUUGAGUACUGGAGAGGCAAUCGGAAUUCCUAGUGUAGCGGUGAAAUGCGUAGAUAUUAGGAGGAACACCAGUGGCGAAGGCGGAUUGCUGGACAGCAACUGACGGUGAGGCGCGAAAGUGUGGGGAGCAAACAGGAUUAGAUACCCUGGUAGU